This 964-nucleotide ribosomal RNA is filed under the name Acinetobacter baumannii. RNAcentral describes it as "bacterial SSU rRNA". It matches the Rfam family "Bacterial small subunit ribosomal RNA", at positions 11 to 969 of the family's 1533-position model. The record is from RNAcentral. Lineage: Bacteria; Pseudomonadati; Pseudomonadota; Gammaproteobacteria; Moraxellales; Moraxellaceae.
GUUUGAUCAUGGCUCAGAUUGAACGCUGGCGGCAGGCUUAACACAUGCAAGUCGAGCGGGGGAAGGUAGCUUGCUACUGGACCUAGCGGCGGACGGGUGAGUAAUGCUUAGGAAUCUGCCUAUUAGUGGGGGACAACAUCUCGAAAGGGAUGCUAAUACCGCAUACGUCCUACGGGAGAAAGCAGGGGAUCUUCGGACCUUGCGCUAAUAGAUGAGCCUAAGUCGGAUUAGCUAGUUGGUGGGGUAAAGGCCUACCAAGGCGACGAUCUGUAGCGGGUCUGAGAGGAUGAUCCGCCACACUGGGACUGAGACACGGCCCAGACUCCUACGGGAGGCAGCAGUGGGGAAUAUUGGACAAUGGGGGGAACCCUGAUCCAGCCAUGCCGCGUGUGUGAAGAAGGCCUUAUGGUUGUAAAGCACUUUAAGCGAGGAGGAGGCUACUUUAGUUAAUACCUAGAGAUAGUGGACGUUACUCGCAGAAUAAGCACCGGCUAACUCUGUGCCAGCAGCCGCGGUAAUACAGAGGGUGCGAGCGUUAAUCGGAUUUACUGGGCGUAAAGCGUGCGUAGGCGGCUUAUUAAGUCGGAUGUGAAAUCCCCGAGCUUAACUUGGGAAUUGCAUUCGAUACUGGUGAGCUAGAGUAUGGGAGAGGAUGGUAGAAUUCCAGGUGUAGCGGUGAAAUGCGUAGAGAUCUGGAGGAAUACCGAUGGCGAAGGCAGCCAUCUGGCCUAAUACUGACGCUGAGGUACGAAAGCAUGGGGAGCAAACAGGAUUAGAUACCCUGGUAGUCCAUGCCGUAAACGAUGUCUACUAGCCGUUGGGGCCUUUGAGGCUUUAGUGGCGCAGCUAACGCGAUAAGUAGACCGCCUGGGGAGUACGGUCGCAAGACUAAAACUCAAAUGAAUUGACGGGGGCCCGCACAAGCGGUGGAGCAUGUGGUUUAAUUCGAUGCAACGCGAAGAAC